GGCUUCAUGGUCGAAUGGUAAGGACACCUGCUUCCCACCCAGGAGUCUCGGGUUCGAUCCCCGCUCGAGGAGA
This is a non-coding RNA of Rhamnusium bicolor, 73 nucleotides long. The record is from the annotation of a GenBank genome assembly. Lineage: Eukaryota; Metazoa; Arthropoda; Insecta; Coleoptera; Cerambycidae.